AAGUCGUAACAAGGUUUCCGUAGGUGAACCUGCGGAAGGAUCAUUAAUGAAUUUUGAAAGGAGGCUGUUGCUGGUCCUCUUGGGCAUUGUGCACGCCUCUAAUCUUCAUCCACUUCUCACCCCUGUGCACUCCUGCGUGAGCCUGCUUCUUUUGUGGGCUUGCGUCUUUUUUAUCAUAAACUCUUAUGCAUGUCUCAGAAUGUUGUGUUGCAUUAUGCAAUCUUGUACAACUUUCAACAACGGAUCUCUUGGCUCUC
This 257-nucleotide unclassified non-coding RNA is filed under the name air metagenome. Its description in RNAcentral is "partial contains small subunit ribosomal RNA, internal transcribed spacer 1, and 5.8S ribosomal RNA". The stretch from base 1 to 46 matches the Rfam family "Eukaryotic small subunit ribosomal RNA", at positions 1786 to 1831 of the family's 1831-position model. The record is from RNAcentral.